RNAcentral lists this ribosomal RNA (245 nucleotides) under uncultured Veillonellaceae bacterium. RNAcentral describes it as "partial 16S ribosomal RNA". It matches the Rfam family "Bacterial small subunit ribosomal RNA", at positions 524 to 769 of the family's 1533-position model. Lineage: Bacteria; Bacillati; Bacillota; Negativicutes; Veillonellales; Veillonellaceae. The record is from RNAcentral.
UACGUAGGUGGCGAGCGUUGUCCGGAAUUAUUGGGCGUAAAGCGCGCGCAGGCGGGAAAGUGAGUCUACUCUAAAAGUGCGGGGCUCAACCCCGUGAUGGGGUGGAAACUGCUUUUCUUGAGUGCCGGAGAGGAAAGCGGAAUUCCCAGUGUAGCGGUGAAAUGCGUAGAUAUUGGGAGGAACACCAGUGGCGAAGGCGGCUUUCUGGACGGUGUCUGACGCUGAGGCGCGAAAGCCAGGGGAGC